CCCCGGCUCAACCGGGGAGGAUCAUAGGAAACGGUGAAACUUGAGUGCAGAAGAGGAGAGUGGAAUUCCACGUGUAGCGGUGAAAUGGUAGAGAUGUGGAGGAACACCAGUGGCGAGCGACUCUCUGGUCUGUACUGACGCUGAGGAGCGAAAGCGUGGGGAGCGAACAGGAUUAGAUACCCUGGUAGUCCACGCCGUAAACGAUGAGUGCUAAUGUUAGGGGGUUUCCGCCCCUUAGUGCUGCAGCUAACGCAUUAAGCACUCCGCCUGGGGAGUACGGUCGCAAGACUGAAACUCAAAGGAAUUGACGGGGGCCCGCACAAGCGGUGGAGCAUGUGGUUAAUUCGAAGCAACGCGAAGAACCUUACCAGGUCUUGACAUCCUCUGACAACCCUAGAGAUAGGGCUUUCCCUUCGGGGACAGAGUGACAGGUGGUGCAUGGUUGUCGUCAGCUCGUGUCGUGAGAUGUGGGUUAAGUCCCGCAACGAGCGCAACCCUUGAUCUUAGUUGCCAGCAUUCAGUUGGGCACUCUAAGGUGACUGCCGGUGACAAACCGGAGGAAGGUGGGGAUGACGUCAAAUCAUCAUGCCCCUUAGACCUGGGCUACACACGUGCUACAAUGGACAGAACAAAGGGCUGCAAGACCGCAAGGUUUAGCCAAUCCCAUAAAUCUGUUCUCAGUUCGGAUCGCAGUCUGCAACUCGACUGCGUGAAGCUGGAAU
This 722-nucleotide ribosomal RNA is filed under the name Bacillus safensis. Its description in RNAcentral is "bacterial SSU rRNA". It matches the Rfam family "Bacterial small subunit ribosomal RNA", at positions 602 to 1332 of the family's 1533-position model. Lineage: Bacteria; Bacillati; Bacillota; Bacilli; Caryophanales; Bacillaceae. The record is from RNAcentral.